UGUUCUCCCUCGGCGAAAUCGACGGAAUCAGUCGUCGAUGAUCUCUCCUCGACGGAAUCCGCCUCAAUCUGCCUAUCGCUCUCCCCGAUGACUCCGUGAUCUCUCCUGGUGAUAGCUCCUCGAAGAUGAUCUCUCCUCGACACAAUCACUCGAAGAUGAUCUCUCCUCGUCUCUCUCUCUUCUCUAGGAAUCCCCGAUGAAUCUCUCCGUGACUCUCUGUGUCGAUCUCCUCGACGAUGAAGAAGCAGAUGAAAUCUCUCUCUCCGGCCCAGAUGAAAUCAAAACGAAAGGUAAAUCUGAAUCCUUCUUUGGUAUUUUGAUUAGUUGUUGUGUUGGUCUGUGCCUCAUGAUUUGUCUCUGUCUUUGUUGCUUCAUAUGGAUGGAUCAAAGAAGACGAGAAGCCCGUAUUGACUGUGAUUCUCGUCUGCAAU
This 431-nucleotide long non-coding RNA is filed under the name Brassica napus (rape). Its description in RNAcentral is "long non-coding RNA (BNAP_LNC024171)". Lineage: Eukaryota; Viridiplantae; Streptophyta; Magnoliopsida; Brassicales; Brassicaceae. The record is from RNAcentral.